GAAGAAUUCAGUGUUCAGCACAAGCACCACCUCCAGCUUGGCUAGGAAGUGCUUUUCCGGAGCCGGGCCAGAGGACUUGAGAUGGUCCAAAAGCCUAGUUCUGUUGUUGGAUCUACUGGUUCCAUUGGAACCCAGACAUUGGACAUUGUUGCAGAGAACCCGAAAAAAUUUAGAGUUGUGGCCCUAGUAGCUGGCUCAAAUGUGACUCUUCUUGUUGAUCAGGUGAAAAGGUUCAAACCCAAAUUAGUUGCAGUUAGAAAUGAAUCAUUAGUUAAUGAACUUAAAGAGGCUCUAUCUGGUCUAGAAGACAAGCCUGAGAUCACUCCUAGGGAGCAAGGAGUCAUUGAGUUGUCAAGUCCACUAUCCAAGGGGCCGCUAAAUGUUUAGUCUCAGGACCUUGUGAGGAAUGAUAGUAGAGGGCUGGAUGUUCCAUCAUCACUAGCUGUGACUGCAGAUAAAACUGAUGGUACAGUUGCUCUGGUGAAAUCAGGUCCUGAGAAAGUUAAAACUACCCCUGCAGGAGAAUAUCUUACUUCUGCCUUGAAUGAUUUUGACCCUGAACAACAUGACAGUCUUGCUGCCAUUUCAGAUGGUGCAAACAAACUUUUGAUGCUGGUUCUGGCUGCAGUAAUUAAAGCUGGGGCUUCUAGGGAGCAUGAAAUACUUGCUGAAAUAAGAGAUGUUGUUUUCUCUUUUAUUCGUAAAAUGGAACCGCAGAGGGUAAUGGACACCAUGCUUGUAUCCCGUGUUAGAAUUUUGUAUAUUACAUCUUUGCUUGCUAGAUCACCAGAGCUGCAGUCCAUCAAGGUUUCUCCCGUUGAGAAUUUUCUAGAGAAGGUAAUACUGGACGUAGUAGAAGCUCCAGUCGGGGUAGCAGCCCUGGAAGAAGUCCUGUGAGCAUAUGUGGAGAAACACGAGUUUGUUUCUGAUGUAGUGCUGAAUGAGGAAGUGUUUAAUGAUAAGGUUUAUACAUAUAUAUUUGCAUAUAUAUUGCAAUUAAACUUGGAGUAGAAACAAGAGUUUGAAAUCAUGUAUAUACAUUAGUGGCAUUCAGAAUAUUGGUCUUUAAUAUGUUUAAGGUUACUUAUCAACUGUUGUCAUUCUGUACUAAUAUGUAGGCUUUAUGCUCAACUUGGAGGGAUGAUGGGGCGACUGUCUUCUCUUGAGGCUGUGACAAGCAAGCUAAGAUGUGGUCCUUGGCUACAAACCAACAAUGAUUGUUGCUCUGCAUGAAGCCCCCAUUAAAGACAUGGCCGGGAUCCCCCAUUAAAGAAAUUAUUGUGGUCCUGUUGUUUGCAGUAUUUUCCUACUGCUGCUUCUUAUGUGGACUCCAAUUUUAAUUUUUUUGCUUUAUGUACUUGAAAAAGGAAAACAAAAGACAUAUACUUUGUUUAGUUAGUUAAUUUGGUAACUAAAUGCUCAUUUCUUUAUGCAGUCGUUUCUGUGGUAAACAUUGCAGUUAUUUUCCUAAUUAGCCAUACUGUCAUCCGGUUUGUACGUAGUAGGUUAAUUGGGGUUUUAUUUUGCCUAUUUUGUGAAGUGUCAAGGAUAAUGAU
This is a long non-coding RNA of Rosa rugosa (rugosa rose), 1556 nucleotides long. RefSeq lists it as uncharacterized. The record is from RefSeq and is a predicted model, not a curated record. The transcript has 7 exons. Lineage: Eukaryota; Viridiplantae; Streptophyta; Magnoliopsida; Rosales; Rosaceae.